GGUCCUAAGGUAGCGAAAUUCCUUGUCGGGUAAGUUCCGACCUGCACGAAUGGCGUAACGACUUGGGCGCUGUCUCAACGAGGGAUCCGGUGAAAUUGUAGUCUCGGUGAAGAUGCCGAGUACCCGUGGUUGGACGGAAAGACCCCGUGAACCUUUACUACAGCUUGACGUUGGAGUCUGGGAUUUGUUGUCCAGGAUAGGUGGGAGGCUGUGAAGCGGGGACGCCAGUCCUCGUGGAGCCAACCUUGGGAUACCACCCUUCGUGUUCUGGGCUUCUAACCCGCUGCCGUGAUCCGGGGCGGGAACAGCGUCAGGUGGGUAGUUUGACUGGGGCGGUCGCCUCCUAAAAUGUAACGGAGGCGCGCAAAGGUUCCCUCAGCACGGUUGGAAAUCGUGCGUAGAGUGCAAAGGCAUAAGGGAGCUUGACUGCGAGACAGACAUGUCGAGCAGGCGCGAAAGCGGGCCUUAGUGAUCCGGCGGUAACUAGUGGACGUGCCGUCGCUCAACGGAUAAAAGGUACUCCGGGGAUAACAGGCUUAUCCUUCCCAAGAGUCCACAUCGACGGAAGGGUUUGGCACCUCGAUGUCGGCUCGUCGCAUCCUGGGGCUGGAGCAGGUCCCAAGGGUUGGGCUGUUCGCCCAUUAAAGCGGUACGCGAGCUGGGUUCAGAACGUCGUGAGACAGUUCGGUCCCUAUCCACCAUGGGCGCUGGAGCUUUGAGAGGAGUCGUCUCUAGUACGAGAGGACCGAGACGAACAGACCUCUGGUGUAUCAGUCGUCGUGCCAACGGCGCUGCUGAUUAGCCACGUCUGGAUGGGAUAACCGCUGAAAGCAUCUAAGCGGGAAGCCCACCUCGAGAUGAGAGCUCCCAUCCCCUCGAGGGAGUAAGGGCGGUCGCAGACUACGACCUCGAUAGGCGGGACGUGCAAGCGCAGCAAUGCGUUCAGCGCACCCGUACUAAUCGCCCGAGGUCUUGAUUUG
RNAcentral lists this ribosomal RNA (980 nucleotides) under soil metagenome. RNAcentral's name for it is "bacterial LSU rRNA". It matches the Rfam family "Bacterial large subunit ribosomal RNA", at positions 1947 to 2925 of the family's 2925-position model. The record is from RNAcentral.